This 4284-nucleotide ribosomal RNA is filed under the name Triticum aestivum (bread wheat). RNAcentral's name for it is "partial small subunit ribosomal RNA". Lineage: Eukaryota; Viridiplantae; Streptophyta; Magnoliopsida; Poales; Poaceae. The record is from RNAcentral.
AUGAGGAAGUCUGGAACAAAAGAGGGUAUCGAGGGAUCUAUUGGAUUUAAGCAUGGGAUUGAUGUGAACCCAUCUUCUGUUUCUACUCAAACAGGAGGAACGCGAUCUGAUUUGAUGAUUCGAGUGUGCAGUUGUACUAGAAGGUCCUCGUCACUUCAUAAUCCUAAUACCAGAAGUAUUAUGAUGACCUGCAAAAGCUGUGGUGGCCAAUCAACAGUGGACAGAGGUGGGCCAUCGUGUAGCAGCAACCUUAACACCAGCGAUUUGGAGCUCCCCAGACCUAUAGAUCCUGAGGUGAGAUGGAAGACUGUAAACAGAAGGCAAAGAGCUGCAAGGAGAGCAAAGACCUUUUCUGGAGGAGACAGAUUAAAGGAUGAAAUUAUAUCUUUCUAUGCAUGUGGCAAUCCCACGAGUCUAGAAGUGGCUCAAGAAGAGGCUUCAGCCUCUGAAUCUGAGAAGCUUGGGGUAUCUAUUCUUGGUCGGCGCUUUGGUGAUCCCAUGGAAAAUGUUCCAAUAAAAAAGAGAAGAGUUCAUAUGGAUUGUUCUCCAUCUCCUCCAUCCACCCCACUGCUAGUGGAUCCUUAUGAAAAAAUACCGAGCAGAUCUGGUGGAGGCAUUUCAUCAUAUGGCAAGCACCGCAAGGUUAAAACACUAGGAGGCAAGCACAUGGAAGAAAAGAGAGGACCUCUUGAAGCUGCUGAUUUUUCUGGUAUAUCAAUACUGGCUGCUGCUGCCUGUGAAAGUGAGAUGGAUGUUGCUAAGUUAAAUGGUGAAUGCUCGAAGUCAGCCCGCUCUCUUGAUGAAAGAAAGCAAGAAAUUAUCUCUGGCAGUUCACUGUUGGAUCCUCUACAUGGAAUUAAGGGGGAUAAGCUAAAUAUCCGAGACAGGGCCCUGAAAUUAUCUGAAAUUGCUCCUGACAUGAAGCCUUUGUUUCCCACUACAUUAAAUAGCUCUGAGUCUGCUCCUGACAUGAAGCCCUUGUUCCCCACAACAUUAAAUGGCCCAGAGAAUCUUGUUGGAUCUGCAGCUGCUCUGGAGGGUAAUACUGCACUUUAUUCUUUGUUGAGCAAUGCAAACAAAACAGAUAUUUUUUCAUCUGUUUCUGAUGCUAAAUCUUCGGAUGUUACCAUGUCAACUAACUCGAGCAGUCCAGGCAAAUCAGUAGGCUGCUUUGGAGAUACAGUUGUGCACACCAAGCAUUCCAAUGCGGCUCAUGAUUCUAGACUGCACUGGGAUCUUAACAUUGCGAUGGAGGCGUGGGACGCCCAUUGUGGUGAUGAUGAUAAUCAUGAUAUGGUUGGUCCUGAUCCUGUAGCUUCUGUAAGUGAUUGUAAUGAUGCUCAAAAGGAGAUGAACAAAUCACAGGUGUGUCGGGAUCUUUCUCAGGCAACAGUUGCUGAGGUCAUACUUCGUCAUUCUGUUGAUAAAAUUCACGUGGCUGAUGCAGCAAAAGAUGGUAACGCAAAGGGUGAAAGUGAUAUCCCAGGUGAUGGUUCAUUUCAUCCUUUGUGCAGUCGGUCUCCCCCGAAAGUUCAGCUAUUGGAAUCCGAAUGUUUAAAUGGAGAUGAUUCCUCUGCCAAAACAAACAAUUUGCUUGAUCUGCAGAAGAGUAGUUAUGUUUCUAAUGUGUCAUUGCAUAUCGGAUCUAAUCCAGACUUGAGUUCUCUGUCUCUUACUAAGGAACAUUUCGCUUUCGCUGCAAAUGUGGAGAAACUUGAUGUGUCACACACUUCACCCCUUGAUUGUGAAGGUUUGUCUCACUUGACUUCUGAGGAUGCUCAUGCUGGAGGUAGUUCAAUUCAAACAAGUGUUCUGGGCUCCAGAGUGAAGCCUAUGACAAGCAGAUUAGUUUCUGAGGAAAGCACAAAUAUUGCAACAGUUUCCAGUAAAAGUUUUACUGACGCUGGGUGGAGCGAUGAUAAACUUGGGCAAGCUUCACUACAGAGCAUAUCUGAAUUUAAAAACCAUGAACUUUUGGAUGUUGAUUCAGGAACUAGUAAAAUUGAUCAGUCCGUCAAUGACAAGGCUGAACAUGACACUGACGUAUUGUGCGUUGACAAGAAAGCUGCAGAUGCAGACAAUGAUUCAGACCUCCCUGAUUCUCAUCCAGAGGAUAACCUACGCACUUCUGAUUGCGUUAUGUCCUAUGCGCAUAUAGAGGGUGGUGUGGAUGCAACAAUCGAUUACAGAAAUCGUUUACUUGCUUGUGUCAACGCUACCAGUGCAGAAACAUGUUACAUCACCAGUGAUAUUCAUGCUCAUGGUCUCAAUUCAGAGUGCACUAAACAAGCAGAUACUGACAUGGACAAUAUUGUGGAUUCAAAAUCUAGAGCACAAAGCCAACCAAGUGGUUACAAACAUGAUCUUCAGAAGGUCACAUCAAAUAAUUGCCUUGAACACCGCUAUCAGACAGACACGUCUCGUUUUAGCAAAGAUCUUUCUGUGACCGGAAAAGUUGACGUCGAGGAAGAUGAUUCUCAGUAUGAGGAUGGGGAACUUAGGGAAUCUGGUGACCGUUAUUGGGCCGAUGACAUUUAUGAAGAAGUUAAAUGUGCUAGUUAUCAGGUAUCAGAUUACAAGGAUGAAAAAGCUGCCCCAGACAUUCAUCAUGUACCUGUUGGCUCUGUUCCAAACAAUAUGGUUAUGCCAGUUGCUAAUUACAAUGGAACGUUAUCGAGGAAGGAAGAUUGUGAUGUUUCACCCAUCUCAUCGAAGCGCUCAUGGUCAAGUAACUGCUUGGAUGGUGGAUCUGGAAUGAUGUGUGCUGCAAGUGCUCGGAGCAUUCAUGUGAAUAUGAAAAAUGAGAGUCGAAUGUAUGACAACCUAGACCUUACAAUAGCUCGAUCUGCUGGGACCGUUAGCCAGUCUGAAAGGGGUGGUGAUGGUUUAGGUGAGGAUCCAUUGAAUAUCAGAUCAAAGCCCGUGGGAUGGGAUAUGUUGCCUGAUCAGAGGCACUCUCGAGAAGAUUCAAGAGACAGAGUUGAUUCUUCUAACCUGUGUGUUUUAGGUACAUUAGAGGCAGCUGAAGCCUGUGAAUCAUUUCGACCAAUGGGGUUACCAAAUAGAGACAUACAAUCACGACUUGAUCGGCUAAGAUCAUUUGACAGACCCCACAGAAAUGAGCACUGCAGAUCUGAUGAUGGCUAUGGUUCUGGCUCAAAAACUGAAAGGUCUGUUGAUAGGCCACAUGGCAGGGCCGGAGCAUCUCGGCAUAUUCAAGCAAACAUCCGAGGGGAGCAGUGGGCUGAAAAUUCAAAUAGUUCUCGUUCUACCCAGCGAAGAUCACCUGAUUAUAAUAAUUAUGGCCCAGCUGGUCCAAGAAAUGCUGCUGAAGCUGCUGUUGCAAAGAUGGAGAGCAGUGGCUUUGUUGUUGCAGCUGAUGGCACUUUGGUAAGAGCUGUUGAUGCAGCAAAUACAAGUACCAUGUCCAGAAGGAUGAGAAACAAAAGUAGCUUCUAUCACCCUUUGUCUAGACGGUGUUCCCCAGUUGACAGAGAUGGAAGUCGUGGGUUGUCCAGAGAACCUGCACAUGCUAGGGAAGCACCUCCAGAACGAUGCUUUGGUGCUAGCGGCAACCGGUCUGGUCGAUAUGGUUCUCAGAUGGAUAAAGAUCAUGCCAUUGAUGAAAAUUUGAGUUCAGUUCAUAGCUCACUGUCUAAUAGACAACGGAGGUUCCCAGCGCAUAGAGCCUCACUCGACCUGUCACGUGCUCACAGCAGAUCUCCUUCAGGAUCUAGAUCUCGAUCACCACAUGCUUGGACGUCCAACGGAGGCUCAAGUAUACGGAGGCAUAGUAGAUCUCCUAAUUACAUGACUGGAGUUAGAAUUGGUAGAAUGACUUCACCUCAAAGACAACAUCGAUUCAAUGAUCGAGUUAUGCGUGGUAGUCCAUCAAGAAAUUCCACUUACUCUCAACAUGAUUCAACAUGGGUUGAAGGAAGGAGCUGCUCAACACUAGAUAUUUCUUAUCACAAGAAACGGUAUUCUCGGAGGAGCCCACCUCUGAGAAUCACCUCAAGAAAUGACAUGUUCGAUUUAAUGGAUUCCCAAGGACGGUCAAGAUCUCGAGAGUUCCACCGCCCAACACGUGACUUCAAAAGGGGAAAUAAGCAUGAUGGGAAUGGUGAUGAUAAAAGAUGUAAUGAUAGAUAUGGAACUGUCAAACCAUAUGAACAUAAUGGUGCUGUGAAGCAGUUCAGGAAUCAUGCUGGAGAUAAACCUCAUCCACACACUUCUGCACCCAGAUCACCUGAACCGCAAAGAGGAAGCCCUCAGCGAUUUUGA